Molecule: RNase P RNA, 598 nt
Filed under: Omnitrophica WOR_2 bacterium RIFCSPHIGHO2_02_FULL_50_17
Lineage: Bacteria; Pseudomonadati; Candidatus Omnitrophota
Also listed under: 1 other name
Description: RNase P RNA component class A
Rfam family: Bacterial RNase P class A
About the family: Ribonuclease P (RNase P) is a ubiquitous endoribonuclease, found in archaea, bacteria and eukarya as well as chloroplasts and mitochondria. Its best characterised activity is the generation of mature 5'-ends of tRNAs by cleaving the 5'-leader elements of precursor-tRNAs. Cellular RNase Ps are ribonucleoproteins.
Source: RNAcentral
AAGCAAGCCAAGAUGGUUGCCCCGGCGUUUUCCGACAUCGUCUCGGAAUAAUUACGGCGGGGAGGAAAGUCCGAGCUCCAGAGGAUCAUGCAUCCUGUUAAUUCAGGACACUCCCGGCGCUUUGUUUUGCAAAGGGGCGGGGGGAGGAUCAGAGCCACAGAGACGAGUCGUUCCCCAUAGGAGGGUGUAAUCUCGCUACCUCUAAAAAUUUGGAGAGGUGAUGAUUCCACGAGUCCCACCUAUGGUGGGGCGGGUGAAACGCGGCAAUCUCUGCAUGGAGCAAGACCGAAUAGGGGAAGAUACCUGUAAAAUUCGAAGCAUGUCCGCCUCAGGCGGACGAUAUUCAGAUUUCGGAUUUUAAAGGUAACGAGGUGAUCCGCUUCGUCAUUAUUCCCGGGUAGGUUGCAAGAGUCCGGUUCCCCUUCAAUAUCACGCAAGAAGAUGAGGGAGGGAAUUCCCGCGCGCCUAGCCUGCCUGCCCUGUCUGCCGACAGGCAGGCGGCAGGCAGGCGUGAGGGAAAGAGUGAUCUCCGGAGUCAGUGGAAUAACCAUCACCCUUUAUGGGAUAACAGAACUCGGCUUACUUGGUUUGCUUGAAU